GUCAGAUCUGGCUGAACGUGACGUGCCGACUCGGAGCCGAGCGAGGUUUCCUGGCGGAGCUGCAGAGGGAGCAGGAGCCGAGCGGUCCGCACACGGCAUCAGCGGCUAUGGAUCCAUCGCUGUCCUCCUCCUGUUUUCGCCACUGAGGGACCGUUGGAUGCUCCAGUGCCCAUAGAGGAGGGAAGGAGGAGGAGGGGGCAUCCCUGUCGUUCUUCGACUACCAGGACCCAAUCGUGGACAAUAAAUCAGAGACGGGAGGUGUUUGUCGUACCGAGGGCCGCAGCGGCGAGCCGGCUUCUGAAAUAUCCAGCGGCUGCUCCUGUCAGCCAUUGUUUUUGUUGUCAUUGGAGGGCUCACAUUUGUUUUCCAGCCCUGGAUCUGCCCAGUGAAGGUGUAUGUGUGAGCUGUGCAUCGAGGGAACAUGGACAGUCUUUCACACCUUGUAUCCUUACAGCUCAUAGUGCUGAUAUGUCAAUGAUCACUGUCAGUACAGGGAAUGUAGGUAUUACCCUUAAUGUGUUAAAUUGUACAAGAAAGACCAGCCUCCAGGGGAUGGUGAAAUGCUGUUGGAGUCAUGCUUUGUUGUUAAAUUAGGUUACUUUUAAAUACUAGCAGGGGUGAAACAUCUAAGUCUUAUCUAAUGAUGAUCUCAUGAAUGUGACGUGGGCAAUUUUGUUAUGGGUGAUACAUUACAAUGGCAGUCCUUUAUAAAUCACCACUGUAUCUGUUAAACUGAACAGGGAAAUAUUUACCUCUGUGGUAAACACGGAGGCAGUUCAGGGUAAUUUUCAUCAGAGAAACAUUUAGAAACACAUUGUAGUCAUUCCAUAUUUAGUCAUUAGGGUGAUAUCACUGUUUGUAAGAAUGAUAUCAUCUGAACUUGUUCCACACGACCUUCCAAGUGAAUGAGCAUGCUGUAAAUAUACCCUGACAAUAGUAAUUGUUACGUUUGGUUCCUUGCAAUACAUCACAGUCAAACACGGUUAAUUGCUUUCAACAUCAGUUUGUUUCUUAUUUAGAUUUUCCAUUCGUUUGCUAAAUAUCACUAUCGAAAAUGUAUUUUUGGGCAUGUCACAGUGAUUUCAAACAUUGCUUUAAGAGUCACUACAAACAAGAGCCAUUAAAGACUACAGAAUACAGAACAUACACAUGCUAACAUUUGUACAUUGCCAUUCUCAGCUGGAAAACACUUCAGGUCAAGUUGUGUUGUUUUAAAUGUGCUAUAUGAAUAAUGGAAACUUGACUAGAUAUUCAGUCCCAUGCAAAAGCAUUAGUAGUGGUU
Molecule: long non-coding RNA, 1282 nt
Organism: Amphiprion ocellaris (clown anemonefish)
Lineage: Eukaryota; Metazoa; Chordata; Actinopteri; Pomacentridae
Source: Ensembl